RNAcentral lists this microRNA precursor (66 nucleotides) under Drosophila mojavensis. RNAcentral describes it as "Dmo-Novel-7-P2_pre stem-loop". The record is from RNAcentral. Lineage: Eukaryota; Metazoa; Arthropoda; Insecta; Diptera; Drosophilidae.
UCUGCAUGAUGGGUCUUUUAAAGGUUUUUUUUAAUAUAUAUUUUUAAAAGAGCCGUCUUGCAAAAU